GAACGAACGCUGGCGGCGGGGCUUAGGCAUGCAAGUCGAGCGAGAAAAGCGCAAGCUGAGUACAGCGGCGUAAGGGUGAGUAAUAGGUAGUCAACGUACCGUCAGGACGCGGAUAAUUCCUCGAAAGGGGUUGUAAUACGCGAUGAGACCACGCCCGGUUCGCCGGGAGGGGUCAAAGGUAGGGGAUCCUUCGGGACCUGGCGCCUGAUGAGCGGACGACCUCCGAUUAGCUAGUUGGCGGGGUAACGGCCCACCAAGGCGAUGAUCGGUAACCGGGCUGAGAGGCUGUCCGGUCACACUGGCACUGAGACACUGGCCAGACUCCUACGGGAGGCUGCAGUCGCGAAUCUUUCACAAUGGGCGCAAGCCUGAUGAAGCCACGCCGCGUGCGGGAUGAAGGCCCUCUGGGUUGUAAACCGCUGUCAAGGGAGGGGAACCGCUGCACGUGAACAAUGUGCAGUCUGACUGCUCCCUAAAGGAAGCCCCGGCAAAACAUGUGCCAGCAGCCGCGGUAAUACAUGUGGGGCAAGCGUUGUUCGGAAUUACUGGGCAUAAAGGGUGCGUAGGUGGUCUGAUAAGUCAGUGGUGAAAUCCCGUGGCCCAACCAUGGAACUGCCAUUGAUACUGUCGGACUCGAGUGCGUGAGGGGUGACUGGAACGCGUGGUGUAGCGGUGAAAUGCGUAGAUAUCACGCGGAAGGCCAACGGCGAAGGCAAGUCACUGGUGCGCAACUGACACUGAGGCACGAAAGCGUGGGGAGCAAACAGGAUUAGAUACCCUGGUAGUCCACGCCGUAAACGAUGGGCACUGGGUCGGUGGGGAGCUAGUCUCUGCCGGCCGUAGGCAAUUUGCUAAGUGCCCCGCCUGGGGAGUAUGGUCGCAAGGCUGAAACUCAAAU
This 898-nucleotide ribosomal RNA is filed under the name uncultured bacterium. RNAcentral's name for it is "bacterial SSU rRNA". It matches the Rfam family "Bacterial small subunit ribosomal RNA", at positions 27 to 906 of the family's 1533-position model. The record is from RNAcentral.